This 497-nucleotide ribosomal RNA is filed under the name uncultured bacterium. RNAcentral describes it as "partial 16S ribosomal RNA". It matches the Rfam family "Bacterial small subunit ribosomal RNA", at positions 28 to 507 of the family's 1533-position model. The record is from RNAcentral.
GAUGAACGCUGGCGGCGUGCCUAAUACAUGCAAGUCGAGCGAACGGACGAGAAGCUUGCUUCUCUGAUGUUAGCGGCGGACGGGUGAGUAACACGUGGAUAACCUACCUAUAAGACUGGGAUAACUUCGGGAAACCGGAGCUAAUACCGGAUAAUAUUUUGAACCGCAUGGUUCAAAAGUGAAAGACGGUCUCGCUGUCACUUAUAGAUGGAUCCGCGCUGCAUUAGCUAGUUGGUAAGGUAACGGCUUACUAAGGCAACGAUGCAUAGCCGACCUGAGAGGGUGAUCGGCCACACUGGAACUGAGACACGGUCCAGACUCCUACGGGAGGCAGCAGUAGGGAAUCUUCCGCAAUGGGCGAAAGCCUGACGGAGCAACGCCGCGUGAGUGAUGAAGGUCUUCGGAUCGUAAAACUCUGUUAUUAGGGAAGAACAUAUGUGUAAGUAACUGUGCACAUCUUGACGGUACCUAAUCAGAAAGCCACGGCUAACUACGUG